GCCGGGUGUGGUGGCGCGUACCUGUAAUCCAAGUCACUGGGAGGCUGAGGUUGGUGGAUCGAGUGAGCUGAGGAACUCUGAGCUGCAGCACGCUAUGUUGAACGGGUGUUCCUGGGGGAGCCCGGGACCACCAGGUCGUCUAAGGAGGGGUGUACCGGCCCAAGUCGGAAACAAAGCAGGUCAAAUCCCCCGUGCCGUCCAGUAGUGGGAUAGCGCCUGUGAGUAGAUGCUGCAGUGCAGCCUUGGCAAGACAUCGAAACCUAAUCUUU
RNAcentral lists this signal recognition particle RNA (269 nucleotides) under Hucho hucho (huchen). RNAcentral's name for it is "Metazoan signal recognition particle RNA (ENSHHUG00000025618.1)". It matches the Rfam family "Metazoan signal recognition particle RNA". Rfam says of the family: The signal recognition particle (SRP) is a universally conserved ribonucleoprotein. It is involved in the co-translational targeting of proteins to membranes. Lineage: Eukaryota; Metazoa; Chordata; Actinopteri; Salmoniformes; Salmonidae. The record is from RNAcentral.